GCCUGGGUGGCUUAGUUGGUUAAGCAUCUGACUUCGGCUCAGGUCAUGAUGUCAAGGUCCUGGGAUCGAGCCCCACGUCGGGCU
Mirounga angustirostris (Northern elephant seal) is the source of this 84-nucleotide non-coding RNA. Lineage: Eukaryota; Metazoa; Chordata; Mammalia; Carnivora; Phocidae. The record is from the annotation of a RefSeq genome assembly.